RNAcentral lists this transfer RNA (97 nucleotides) under Methanobacteriota archaeon. RNAcentral describes it as "Euryarchaeota archaeon (sediment metagenome) tRNA-Lys". It matches the Rfam family "tRNA". From Rfam's summary of the family: Transfer RNA (tRNA) molecules are approximately 80 nucleotides in length. Their secondary structure includes four short double-helical elements and three loops (D, anti-codon, and T loops). The record is from RNAcentral. Lineage: Archaea; Methanobacteriati; Methanobacteriota.
GGGCCCGUAGCUUAGCUAGGUAGAGCGUUCGGCUCUUAACCGAACGGCCAAGGGUUCGAAAGUUAAAAAAAAACCGAAAAUCCCUUCGGGCCCGCCA